GAGGGUGUAGCUUGGUAGUAGAACACUUGUCUAGCAUGCAUGAGGCCCUGGGUUCAAUUCCCAGUACCUUCA
RNAcentral lists this transfer RNA (72 nucleotides) under Heterocephalus glaber (naked mole-rat). It matches the Rfam family "tRNA". Rfam says of the family: Transfer RNA (tRNA) molecules are approximately 80 nucleotides in length. Their secondary structure includes four short double-helical elements and three loops (D, anti-codon, and T loops). The record is from Rfam by way of RNAcentral. Lineage: Eukaryota; Metazoa; Chordata; Mammalia; Rodentia; Bathyergidae.